GUUCAGGUUCAAAAUAUGUAAAACUUAAUCUCUUGGGUUGGUUUUGUUUUAAGUAAAGCUGAUCUGAGAAGUAAAGCUCACUUGUAAUUUUACGCUUUGCUGAACAUUGUUAUUUUGUAUCGCCUAAAAAAAUACACACACACACUUUCACCCUCGUGCAAUCCUUGAUUUUCAAACCCUCUGUUAAUCUGAAUUUCAUCUGCUUGAUCUUCAGAGACUUGCAGUUCUAUCCCUCUCUCUCAGCGUCCCCAUCUGCAUUGGUACUCCCUAACCACCCUCUUCAGAUUUAAUAUGGAGAAACUAUCAACACCAGCAAACCAUUUUUGCAUGUAUGGACUUACUAGAGAGGAAACUAUCAUAUUAAAAAAUGAAACUAUCAGCACUUGCUUUCUUUCCAACUUCCGGUUUUCACUGAAAUACCUUGGUUAGUUGGCCCAUGCAUUUUCUUUCCUUUUUUUUUUUCCCAGUUCUCUUUCCAUUUGUCUAUGCAUCUCUACAAGGGAUUUUGGUUGCAUGCUCAACUUGUUUUACUUCAAUUUAUGAAAUUGAUUUUUGCUCGAGUGAAUGUGUUUUUAAUUUAUUACUGUGGCUUUUAAAUUUUGAUUACAAUUGGCCUUCUCUUAAUUUGGGUUAUGAUGAA
Molecule: unclassified non-coding RNA, 640 nt
Filed under: Hevea brasiliensis (rubber tree)
Lineage: Eukaryota; Viridiplantae; Streptophyta; Magnoliopsida; Malpighiales; Euphorbiaceae
Source: RNAcentral